This 706-nucleotide ribosomal RNA is filed under the name uncultured bacterium. RNAcentral's name for it is "bacterial SSU rRNA". It matches the Rfam family "Bacterial small subunit ribosomal RNA", at positions 78 to 771 of the family's 1533-position model. The record is from RNAcentral.
GCUUGCUCUUUUGGAAGAGUUGCGAACGGGUGAGUAACGCGUAGGUAACCUGCCUGGUAGUGGGGGAUAACUAUUGGAAACGAUAGCUAAUACCGCAUAAUAGCUUUGAUUGCAUGAUUGAAGUUUGAAAGAUGCAACUGCAUCACUACCAGAUGGACCUGCGUUGUAUUAGCUAGUAGGUGAGGUAAAGGCUCACCUAGGCGACGAUACAUAGCCGACCUGAGAGGGUGAACGGCCACACUGGGACUGAGACACGGCCCAGACUCCUACGGGAGGCAGCAGUAGGGAAUCUUCGGCAAUGGGGGCAACCCUGACCGAGCAACGCCGCGUGAGUGAAGAAGGUUUUCGGAUCGUAAAGCUCUGUUGUAAGAGAAGAACGUGUGUGAGAGUGGAAAGUUCACACAGUGACGGUAACUUACCAGAAAGGGACGGCUAACUACGUGCCAGCAGCCGCGGUAAUACGUAGGUCCCGAGCGUUACCCGGAUUUAUUGGGCGUAAAGCGAGCGCAGGCGGUUGGAUAAGUCUGAAGUUAAAGGCUGUGGCUCAACCAUAGUAUGCUUUGGAAACUGUUCAACUUGAGUACAGAAGGGGAGAGUGGAAUUCCAUGUGUAGCGGUGGAAUGCGUAGAUAUAUGGAGGAACACCGGUGGCGAAAGCGGCUCUCUGGUCUGUAACUGACGCUGAGGCUCGAAAGCGUGGGUAGCGA